GCUGCAUAUUGUCAUGGACACAUAAGUGAGUCUUGGAGCAGAAUUCCUGAGACCUGCCGGCAGCAAUGACAGACUCGAACUGAGGUACUCAGGUGGGAAGCACAACUUUUUCAAGAAAGCCUUAAAAAAGAAGACAACACCUAAGGAAAAAAUGAAUAUGGAGGGAGAAAAAGAAAAGGAUGUACCUCUUUUGAAGCCUUCAAUUAAAUUCAUCUCAAUAACCUUUGUUAGUGCUGAUCAACGUCAUCUCAGAGUUCAGUUUUGUGCAGCAGACCGAAUGCAGAGAUAACAAGACAGCUAGGGUUUUCCUAUCUGAUGGGCCUCACUCCUUCAGGAGUCUGGUUAGUGCGGCAGCAUUUUCCAUAACUUGUCAACUACACAGAGUCAAGACAGUGUGAUCCUAUAACGUGGGCCAUGACCU
Molecule: long non-coding RNA, 421 nt
Organism: Fukomys damarensis (Damara mole-rat)
Lineage: Eukaryota; Metazoa; Chordata; Mammalia; Rodentia; Bathyergidae
Exons: 3
Source: RefSeq, a predicted model, not a curated record